GACGAACGCUGGCGGCGUGCUUAACACAUGCAAGUCGAACGCUGAAGCUUGGUGCUUGCACUGGGUGGAUGAGUGGCGAACGGGUGAGUAAUACGUGAGUAACCUGCCCUUGACUCUGGGAUAAGCCUGGGAAACUGGGUCUAAUACUGGAUACGACAUGCCACUGCAUGGUGGUGUGUGGAAAGGGUUUUACUGGUUUUGGAUGGGCUCACGGCCUAUCAGCUUGUUGGUGGGGUAAUGGCCUACCAAGGCGACGACGGGUAGCCGGCCUGAGAGGGUGACCGGCCACACUGGGACUGAGACACGGCCCAGACUCCUACGGGAGGCAGCAGUGGGGAAUAUCGCACAAUGGGCGGAAGCCUGAUGCAGCGACGCCGCGUGAGGGAUGACGGCCUUCGGGUUGUAAACCUCUUUCAGCACGGAAGAAGCGAGAGUGACGGUACGUGCAGAAGAAGCGCCGGCUAACUACGUG
This 472-nucleotide ribosomal RNA is filed under the name uncultured bacterium. Its description in RNAcentral is "partial 16S ribosomal RNA". It matches the Rfam family "Bacterial small subunit ribosomal RNA", at positions 28 to 507 of the family's 1533-position model. The record is from RNAcentral.